This is a long non-coding RNA of Neofelis nebulosa (Clouded leopard), 352 nucleotides long. RefSeq lists it as uncharacterized. The transcript is spliced from 3 exons. NCBI's taxonomy places the organism in Eukaryota, Metazoa, Chordata, Mammalia, Carnivora, Felidae. The record is from RefSeq and is a predicted model, not a curated record.
CACGUGGCCUCAUCAUUUUUAAUGGCGAUUUGACAGAUUUCUUUCUAGUUGACUUUCAACGGCCACAUCACUCAUCUUGCUGUUUGGAGGCCGUCAGAAAGAAGUAGAGACUGGAAGAUAACGUGACUGCUGGGUAGUGACAGGGCCUGUCUCCUGACCGCGGCUCAGCGUACCUUCCACAGGAAAAACCUACACGACCAUGUGCUGCCCAUGCCCAGGUGAACUCUGCCCAGUAGAGGGACCGUCCUUCCUCCAUGUGGUAAAAACUCUAAAUGUUUCCAGUAAGGAUGUAAAUGAGAAAGGACGCUACAUUCUUUUCUGGAUGUUGGAAUAAAUAGUAAAGAAGAAGCCA